RNAcentral lists this ribosomal RNA (599 nucleotides) under Oceanobacillus iheyensis. Its description in RNAcentral is "bacterial SSU rRNA". It matches the Rfam family "Bacterial small subunit ribosomal RNA", at positions 75 to 651 of the family's 1533-position model. The record is from RNAcentral. Lineage: Bacteria; Bacillati; Bacillota; Bacilli; Caryophanales; Bacillaceae.
UCUCUUCGGAGUUGACGAUAAUGGAAUGAGCGGCGGACGGGUGAGUAACACGUAGGCAACCUGCCUGUAAGACUGGGAUAACUCGUGGAAACGCGAGCUAAUACCGGAUAACACUUUUCAUCUCCUGAUGAGAAGUUGAAAGGCGGCUUUUGCUGUCACUUACAGAUGGGCCUGCGGCGCAUUAGCUAGUUGGUAAGGUAACGGCUUACCAAGGCGACGAUGCGUAGCCGACCUGAGAGGGUGAUCGGCCACACUGGGACUGAGACACGGCCCAGACUCCUACGGGAGGCAGCAGUAGGGAAUCUUCCGCAAUGGACGAAAGUCUGACGGAGCAACGCCGCGUGAGUGAUGAAGGUUUUCGGAUCGUAAAACUCUGUUGUUAGGGAAGAACAAGUGCUAUAGUAACUGAUGGUACCUUGACGGUACCUAACCAGAAAGCCACGGCUAACUACGUGCCAGCAGCCGCGGUAAUACGUAGGUGGCAAGCGUUGUCCGGAAUUAUUGGGCGUAAAGCGCUCGCAGGCGGUUCUUUAAGUCUGAUGUGAAAUCUUACGGCUCAACCGUAAACGUGCAUUGGAAACUGGGGAACUUGAGUGCAG